AGAUGUGAGGGCUAUCUGGCUGUGAUAUCUGUCACCACAUUGAUAUACAGGGUUGAUUUAGCUGGCUAGGCAGGUGUCCCCUUUCCUCCCUUAGCACUCCACGUGCAUCCCUCCUGAAGCUGUGCGCUUGGUUAAACAGGAUGACCACUGAAGAGGACAACCAUCCCCAAUAGAGGAGGACCAGUCUUCAGUCAAGAGUAUACAAGUAGCUGCAGUCUCCUGCUAGAACCUCCAAACAAGCUCUCAAGGGCCGCUUGUAGGGGAACACAGGAUAGUCAAGCCUCCAAGACUCCAGAGACAUCCAUAUGAGGUGCUGCACUGGUGAGCUUUGAAUUUUUAUAU
This 342-nucleotide small nuclear RNA is filed under the name Saimiri boliviensis boliviensis (Bolivian squirrel monkey). RNAcentral's name for it is "7SK RNA (ENSSBOG00000008669.1)". It matches the Rfam family "7SK RNA". From Rfam's summary of the family: 7SK was discovered as an abundant small nuclear RNA in the mid-70s but a possible function has only recently been suggested. Two independent studies have found that 7SK RNA binds the CDK9/cyclin T complex (known as elongation factor P-TEFb). Lineage: Eukaryota; Metazoa; Chordata; Mammalia; Primates; Cebidae. The record is from Rfam by way of RNAcentral.